GGAGGCAAUGGAUUUCUCACCUACAACAUACAUUCCAUCUGUGGAUUAUACUGAACGUGCCACUGCAGCUUUAAGCCUCAGCUAAAUAUCUGAAGACUGGGCAGAGGAAUGAGCUCUUGGUGAAAUGGACAUUCAAAGUGAAGAUAAAAUGGAAAGAAAUAAGAAGAGCAUGUCUGGCAAUCCUGCCAAGCCCUGUAGCAGCUCUCCAGCCAGUGGGGAUCCACAUGGAUGCUGACAGGCCAAGGACUGUGUGCAUAUGGAUUGCUCAGCUCUUUGCCCCAACAUUUGUCAGCAACAGAAUGUCAUCUAUGCAUUCUGGACAAGAAACCAUGAAAGGAAAAAGCAGGUAAAAGUAUUGUUCUCAUCUAUAUUCACCACAACAACUUAGAGAUAAGUUGCUGUUAUUUGCCCAUCCACAUCUGGAUCUCUUUCUGAAAAAAAGGGCGUAUAUGAAAUAAGGAACUUAUUUCCCAGCAAGGGGAACUGCAUGCCUACAUGAAUCAGCUGUGAAAUUGGGGUAUUCUCCUGCUACGAGUGUAGUAAGGAAGCUAAAUAGAAAAUUUAUAGAGAAGUACUGACAGCAAAAGUUUUGAGGAUUUGGGAUCCUGUUUUGAUGCAGGACAUAAUCACUGAUAGCCAACAGGAGUCACCGGUGCUGACCAGGCAGAGAUUAAGGCAACACUUCAUUACACUGAUGAGAUAAUGUAAAAGAUCAGGGAUAAGUGCUGGGGCACUUCAGCUUGUCCAAAUGACUGAGAUAAGAAAGCAGCAGCUUCUGAAGAGAGUCAACGUUUCCUGUGUAACUCAUGCUCUGGCAAAUGGCAUUGCCUACAGAGAGCAUCAUGAAUAUUGCUAUCUGGGGAAGAACAGACUGAGCAGCAUACAUGGAAGAAA
Cinclus cinclus is the source of this 894-nucleotide long non-coding RNA. RefSeq lists it as uncharacterized. Lineage: Eukaryota; Metazoa; Chordata; Aves; Passeriformes; Cinclidae. The record is from RefSeq and is a predicted model, not a curated record. The transcript has 3 exons.